Molecule: ribosomal RNA, 395 nt
Filed under: uncultured bacterium
Lineage: Bacteria
Description: bacterial SSU rRNA
Rfam family: Bacterial small subunit ribosomal RNA
Source: RNAcentral
AUUGAACGCUGGCGGCAUGCCUUACACAUGCAAGUCGAACGGCAGCACGGGAGCUUGCUCCUGGUGGCGAGUGGCGAACGGGUGAGUAAUACAUCGGAACGUACCCUGAAGUGGGGGAUAACGUAGCGAAAGUUACGCUAAUACCGCAUAUUCUGUGAGCAGGAAAGAGGGGGAUCGCAAGACCUCUUGCUUUAGGAGCGGCCGAUGUCGGAUUAGCUAGUUGGUGAGGUAAAGGCUCACCAAGGCGACGAUCCGUAGCGGGUCUGAGAGGAUGAUCCGCCACACUGGGACUGAGACACGGCCCAGACUCCUACGGAGGCAGCAGUGGGGAAUUUUGGACAAUGGGCGCAAGCCUGAUCCAGCCAUGCCGCGUGAGUGAAGAAGGCCUCGGUUGU